UACGGAGGGAGCUAGCGUUAUUCGGAAUUACUGGGCGUAAAGCGCACGUAGGCGGCUUUGUAAGUAAGAGGUGAAAGCCUGGUGCUCAACACCAGAACUGCCCUUUAGACUGCAUCGCUUGAAUCAUGGAGAGGUGAGUGGAAUUCCGAGUGUAGAGGUGAAAUUCGUAGAUAUUCGGAAGAACACCAGUGGCGAAGGCGGCUCACUGGACAUGUAUUGACGCUGAGGUGCGAAAGCGUGGGGAGCAAACAGG
RNAcentral lists this ribosomal RNA (253 nucleotides) under uncultured bacterium. Its description in RNAcentral is "partial 16S ribosomal RNA". It matches the Rfam family "Bacterial small subunit ribosomal RNA", at positions 524 to 776 of the family's 1533-position model. The record is from RNAcentral.